AGGGAUCAUUAUCGAAUGGUCUUGUGCCUUCAACACUCUAAACCGUGGAAGCAACAUGUGCUUCGGCGCUCUGGCGCCGUCUUUAUGUGUGAGUCCGUCUUGACGUCUGAAUCUGAUAAUGAAAAAUCAAAACUUUCAACAAAGGAUCUCUUGGCUCUC
RNAcentral lists this unclassified non-coding RNA (159 nucleotides) under uncultured fungus. RNAcentral describes it as "partial contains 18S rRNA, ITS1, 5.8S rRNA, ITS2 and 28S rRNA". Lineage: Eukaryota; Fungi. The record is from RNAcentral.